UGGGAGCUGCUCUGACAGCUGGUGCUUAAAGCUAGUGAGGGAGAUAUGUGUCUCCAGCUUCAGUGAUUUUUGCAGUUCGUUCCAGUCAUUGGCAGCAGAGAACUGGAAGGAAAGGUGGCCAAAGGGGGAAUUGGCUUUGGAGGUGACCAGUGAGAUAUACCUGCAGGAGCGCGUGCUACGGGUGGGUUCUGCUAUGGUGACCAGUGAGCUGAGAUAAGGAAAAUGGCUUCCUGAAAUCCCUCAAGCAGCUGAUUGGUCGACUCCAUGGCUAAUUGGAGAGAGCUGACCCCGCACCCUCGUCAAGACAGCUGUCUCCAAUUACCCAUUCCAUCUGAAGAUAUAUAAAUGCCAGUGUUCUGUUCAGGAGGGAGAUUAUUUUUUUUUUUGUAGGAAAGAGAUUUUGCUAGAGUUUUUGCUAGAGAUUUUACUGGGAGUUCAUUGCUGAGAGUUGGUAUGUUCUGUUUGUUGCUCAGAUAGAGCUUAUUUGAUGUCCUUAGUUUGUUUGUGAAAUUGUUUAAUAUUCUGUUUCAUUUGUUCCCAGGGGGGGAAGUGGAAGGCACCUUGGGAGUGCUUAGGCAAGAGGCCCGCGGGCAUACAUAUACCCGUAGCAUAUUCGCUGUCUAGGCACACUAGGUAAGACCUGGGCGGACCACCCCCUGUAUUUUGGUUAGGGCCCCAGGUGGUGCUAAAUUAGGUAAGUAGUGGGUAGGCAGGUAAGAUAGGAGAGGGGGAGCUUUGAGAUUUACUUUCUUUGCUUUGGUUCCGUCCAGCCCCUUUUCCCCAUAUUACCGUGUGAAGGAAUAAAGUCCUUGUAAACGGUAUCA
This is a long non-coding RNA of Oncorhynchus keta (chum salmon), 824 nucleotides long. RefSeq lists it as uncharacterized. The transcript has 2 exons. NCBI's taxonomy places the organism in Eukaryota, Metazoa, Chordata, Actinopteri, Salmoniformes, Salmonidae. The record is from RefSeq and is a predicted model, not a curated record.